RNAcentral lists this ribosomal RNA (497 nucleotides) under uncultured bacterium. Its description in RNAcentral is "partial 16S ribosomal RNA". It matches the Rfam family "Bacterial small subunit ribosomal RNA", at positions 28 to 507 of the family's 1533-position model. The record is from RNAcentral.
GAUGAACGCUGGCGGCGUGCCUAAUACAUGCAAGUCGAGCGAACGGACGAGAAGCUUGCUUCUCUGAUGUUAGCGGCGGACGGGUGAGUAACACGUGGAUAACCUACCUAUAAGACUGGGAUAACUUCGGGAAACCGGAGCUAAUACCGGAUAAUAUUUUGAACCGCAUGGUUCAAAAGUGAAAGACGGUCUUGCUGUCACUUAUAGAUGGAUCCGCGCUGCAUUAGCUAGUUGGUAAGGUAACGGCUUACCAAGGCAACUAUGCAUAGCCGACCUGAGAGGGUGAUCGGCCACACUGGAACUGAGACACGGUCCAGACGCCUACGGGAGGCAGCAGUAGGGAAUCGUCCGCAAUGGGCGAAAGCCUGACGGAGCAACGCCGCGUGAGUGAUGAAGGUCUUCGGAUCGUAAAACUCUGUUAUUAGGGAAGAACAUAUGUGUAAGUAACUGUGCACAUCUUGACGGUACCUAAUCAGAAAGCCACGGCUAACUACGUG